Molecule: ribosomal RNA, 495 nt
Filed under: uncultured bacterium
Lineage: Bacteria
Description: partial 16S ribosomal RNA
Rfam family: Bacterial small subunit ribosomal RNA
Source: RNAcentral
GACGAACGCUGGCGGCGUGCCUAAUACAUGCAAGUAGAACGCUGAAGGAGGAGCUUGCUUCUCUGGAUGAGUUGCGAACGGGUGAGUAACGCGUAGGUAACCUGCCUGGUAGCGGGGGAUAACUAUUGGAAACGAUAGCUAAUACCGCAUAAUAGUAGAUGUUGCAUGACAUUUGCUUAAAAGGUGCAAUUGCAUCACUACCAGAUGGACCUGCGUUGUAUUAGCUAGUUGGUGAGGUAACGGCUCACCAAGGCAACGAUACAUAGCCGACCUGAGAGGGGGAUCGGCCACACUGGGACUGAGACACGGCCCAGACUUCUACGGGAGGCAGCAGUAGGGAAUCUUCGGCAAUGGACGGAAGUCUGACCGAGCAACGCCGCGUGAGGGAAGAAGGGUUUCGGAUCGUAAAGCUCUGUUGUAAGAGAAGAACGAGUGUGAGAGUGGAAAGUUCACACUGUGACGGUAUCUUACCAGAAAGGGACGGCUAACUACGUG